Molecule: microRNA, 19 nt
Filed under: Gallus gallus (chicken)
Lineage: Eukaryota; Metazoa; Chordata; Aves; Galliformes; Phasianidae
Description: microRNA Ros-gga
Source: RNAcentral
CCCCUUCUGUUCGGGCCGC